This 169-nucleotide ribosomal RNA is filed under the name Aesopia cornuta. RNAcentral describes it as "partial 12S ribosomal RNA". The record is from RNAcentral. Lineage: Eukaryota; Metazoa; Chordata; Actinopteri; Pleuronectiformes; Soleidae.
CACCGCGGUUAGACGAGAGGCUCAAGUUGACAAAUUACGGCAUAAAGCGUGGUUAGGGGCCCCCUUAAACUAAAGCCAAACCCCUUCAAGGCCGUUAUACGCAUCCGAAAAUGUGAAGCCCAACAACGAAAGUGACUUUACCCACCCUGACCCCACGAAAGCUAAGAAA